Long non-coding RNA from Malurus melanocephalus (red-backed fairy wren), 4681 nucleotides. RefSeq lists it as uncharacterized. The record is from RefSeq and is a predicted model, not a curated record. The transcript has 2 exons. Lineage: Eukaryota; Metazoa; Chordata; Aves; Passeriformes; Maluridae.
CCCUGCCAUAGGACAGGCUGAGGCAGAGUCUCAGUGUUGCCCUGUUCAGUCUGAGGCAAGUGGGAUUUAUUUUAUUCAUUCUGGGGGCUUUCACAGCUUUAUGGCUGUUGGAUAUUUAUGUCCCCAAACUUGCAGCAAGUUUGGUGAAGGCCCCUAAAUUUAUUUUAAUUUAGGUUUUUUUAUUCUCUUUUGGUAGAUGGGCUCUAUAUUAAUAUUUAUCUUUUUAUUAUCAUUGUGUUUUGAAGAAUCGUAGGGGGAGGGAACCUGUUUAAGAUGUGUGGGUACCUUUUCUCUUAAUGGAAUGCAUUUCCUCUGAGGCUGCUCAGGUAGUCCUUAAGCCACACUGCCCCUCCCCAUCUUUCCYUGCAUUGCAUUUGUGCUGUAUUUGUUUUCUGGUUUGGUAGUGUUGACUUUGUGUAGUCUCUGGACUAGUGGCAUGUAAAUACCAAUUACUAAUGUUUUCUCUUCUGGGGAGRUGUAUCUGCUGAAGAGCUUAAAACAAGUUUUAGCCAGUAAGUUAAUUGCUACAAAAUUUUGUAGCCCAAAUUACAGAAUCCAGUUUAUUUGAAGGUUAGGAUGUAAAUAGUGCUGUGUGUGUGAGCUGCACCUCAACAAAUAUUAAUGUAGAGCCCUGUGAAGAAAKAGAGAUCACAUCCAAAUUGGUAACACAGAAUAGAAGAGUGAGAAAUCAGAGCUGCACAUUUUUCAGUUUGCCAUUWUCAGGGAGGACCUUUUCCUCGGUCUCUCAAAUACACCAAACACAAGAAUAUUUUGACAAUUGCAACAAUAGUAAAAGUUUAAAAACCCUUUUUUGAAACCCUGUGAAAUUCUGUUGCAUAGUCAAGAUUUGCUUUGUUAUGUUUAUUUGAAGUUCCUUCUUUCACACAGUGACARAAAAAUUCUACUCUUUGUGAAGAAAAAGUUGCUCACUCUUUUGGAGAGCCAUUGGUCCUAAAUGUUUGAGGUUGUUUAAAGACAACUUCAGUUUCAGAACAGCAGGUUUUUCCAAGGAGGUCUUGUAGCGUAUCAGCAGUGAAGUAGUAAAUAAACAAAUGUGGGAGUCUGGUUUGCCUUUCCUUUGGUUUUUGGUUUUUUUUUGGGGGGGUGGUGUUAAAAUUUUAGAGAUAUUUUUAAAGUUUGUGGUGGGUUUUUAUGAGCACAGACUCUCUUUCCUUCUUCAAGAUUCUGCUAAAUAAUGACCCCAGUGGGAUUUCAAGUGAUUUUAGUUGAAGGAUAGAGUUGUAAUUAACUYAGAAGAGUGGAUUGCAUAUUCCUGUUGUACCUUCUUUGUUUGUACUCUGCCCUUUGCAUUUUUCCUGUAGAAAGUCCCCCUGAAAUCCCUGUCUGACUGGAAAAUUGACAUGUCCAUGUUAACUGUUAGAAAAUGGUUAUUGAGCAUGGUCUUGCUUUGCUAAUUCUCCUUGUGGUGCUCCCUCUGACAACAGUGAAGAUGAGAACAACUCUUCAAGAUAGACUAYUGCAACUAGUAUUUCUUUCACUUGCUUGAUUUAUAGGAGCAUUUGCCUUACUUCUUACUUCCCUGGAAUACCUAAGGAAACCAUUUAACCCAGAAUAAUACAUGGUGAGGCUUGUACUUCUUGCUUUAACUAUCUGAAUCUCUUAGAUACUCAAAAAAAUAGGCAAAUUUCAAAUGCCUCUUUUUUUUUUUUUGAGGACUGAAGUUUGUUCUUAGUUGCAUUCCAGUAUUGCAGCUCUCACUGCAGCAGUUUGUGUAUCACAAAGUUUUACRUCUUGCUUACUAGUGAAAUUUCUUUACUAAAGAUGACAGUAUUUCAGUGGCAUGACUUCUAUAGGUAUUACUAAUAUGUCUUGGAGUUGUUUUAAGCUUAAGUUGAGGCAUAUGACAUUUUUUKAAGGAGCAGGAGUUACUCUGCUAAAUCGGGUAAAUUUGCACCUGCUCUAUUAAACAAGAGAAAUAACUUGGAGAUGUGGUAAAUAGUGUACAUACCACACAUGAAGAACUUUAUAAAAUAUCUGUAUGCUUGUAAUCAAAAUAAUCAGACCACGGAAACAGUGGUAGUGACAAGGUCCUGUAAGAAUGCAGCGACCAGUGACUGCUGUUUUGCCUGUAGUAGCAGGGCUAGGUUGGAAGUAGUGUAGAGUAAAGAAGGUUUUGGGACUGGUGUUAAAGGGACCAAGAUGAAUCAAAGUGUUUCUAAAGUGURAUGUAUAUAAGGUUCUUUUUGAAAUACUGAAAAACACAGUGAGAGCUUUCUGGCACACUAAGCAGCAGCUUGAUGCAGUCUUGAUUGUCAGAGCACAGAUUCCCAGUAAGGAUCUGUUAAAAGAAAUGCAGUUUCACCUCAGUCUUGAGAAGGUGUGUCUGAGGGAGCUGAGCACUGCAGCCUGGUGCUUUUUCAGCCAGCCAUACCCUGUCCUCAACUGCAGAAUUCAGGGUGUUAUCCUCGAGCCAUUUGUUCCUGGUAUCCUGGUGAGUCAGUCAGUGACUGUCCCUGGUAUAAAUAAUUGUGAGGCUUGAUAUUUACRUAUCUUGGUACUGUUGGGAAUAGUGAAGCCCUUGCACCUUCAGAAUAAGUUUACAAUAGCCAUUUAAAUUCUUACGGGCUUUCUUGCUGUAGGGACAGUCAGCAACACUGCUGUUUUAAUGGCAGUGAAUUUAACUUCUCCAUAAAUACUGUCUUGAACUUAUCUUAAGGUUUUUCUUUCGUUAAGAUUUAAAGAAGUGAAGAAGUUUUGAGAAAAUAAUAAAAUUUUAAUGCCGAUAYCAUCUCGACUAAAAGCAGAGAAGCACGUAACGUUAGAGCUUGAAAUCUUCCUUUUGAAUUCUUGUUAGCAGUUAWAGCAUAUCUCUCUGAUAGCCAACUGCCUUAUACAAGGUUCAGGCUUCUGUCAUCUCAURCUUUCUUCCCUUAAUUUUUGUCUAAAUCUUUGCCAUAUUCCCAGGUCCUAUUCAGAAAGGGAGGCACGGGUUGUAGAAUUUCAGCUUCUGCUUCUCUUAGUAGCCAAUAUUYAUAACUGGUUUUUGCUAACAGCAGUUUUAAUUUCCAGAAAUCAAUGCAGUACAACCAGAGGAAGCUAUUUCAUUGUCUCCCAGUUUAGGAAGUUAUGUAAUGCUUUGWGAUAAAGAUGUCAUGCAGGGCUUUUUUCUCUUUUUUCAUUGAGUUACUUGCACCGAAUUCUUUAGCUUCUUUCUCAUAAAUUUAAGUGGAAAAAGAUACAUUUUGCUCUUUGACUUGUAAAGUCCAGAAUAAGAAAACACACUUUGAGACUUUAAUGAAGGAACCUGGCCAUGUAAGUAUUGUAAUUUCCUUUAUGUUUGUAGUAGGCAACAAAAUGGACCUUAUUAAACUUAUGGGUUAUGUAUGAAAAAUCAGAAGGGCAAUUUGAAGGAAGUUUCAUAGGUGCCUUCAUAUGCUUUUCUUAAGCAACAAAUUGCAGUAAUUGAAGUUUGGCAGUUAUUUUUUUUAAUAAAGAACUAAAUUAUGGGUUAAACACCUUGGUUUAAUACAAUUUGUGUUUCUGUUAACUAGCAGCAGAAUUUCAGCAUUUGCUACUUACUGGUAGAGAAGAAAAAUUCCACAGAACUGCCAGUACAGGUAUGCAGGAAUAAAAGGGGUACCUUGUUUGAGGCCAUUACCCUGUUAACAGAAUGUAUCCAUAUUUCUUAAAACUUCUGCGGUCGACCCUGGCUGAUACUUAAUGCACAGUACUAAGUUGGAGUGAGUAACUGAUUGCUUUUGGCUGCUCAAUUAGCUUAUGAAGUCCUGGUUUUGACAGUGGUUGGAUGGAGACCUGCACUACUUGUACACCAGCCUGGUAGUCAGUGGGGAUAACUGAAGGGUAGAGUGUGUUCCAUAGUGUCUUAACCAAAAAAAGUGCAUUUGUCCAAGAUAGAUCCUCCUAGAACUCUGGUAGAACAUCAUCUCUUUCUGAAACUUUGAAUGGCAGUUAAUUAUGGUAAUUCUGAUAGAAUAAAGUUUAUUUUCUUUUGAGAUAGGAYCAAAAGCAGUACUGGAAAUCUGAGCUUUGAUUACCAGGUGAGCAGUGUUAAAUUGUAGCACAACUUCUGACACACCAUUAGAACAUCUGUCCACUGUAAUGUGGUUCAGUCGUCUUCUCUCCCAGUUCUGGUACUGUAUAUUUGGAACAGUUUGUCAUUUCCCACUCUUUCCUUAGACUCCUUACUGACUCCCAGUUGCCCUUUCAGAGUUUCUGGUCACUGUGCAGCAAACCCAAACUGCACAAACUCUGAGUUGUUUUUAGUACCUUCACAAAGCACCUUUAACCAUAUGAGUGAAUAUGGUCCCCUCUCAGUAGCAGUAUGGCCACAGAAGUUAGUGUGUUGUGAAGGGUUUUUUUUUGUAACUUUAUACAUCUUUUGUGUAAGUGGUAUGAAAGGGCUGGGAUUACUGAUCUUUUUCAAAAGACAGGUGGUGGCAAAAUACUGAUGUUGAAUUUAUUUGGAGAAAGUGAGAGACUGGUAAGUAUGUGCAUCACUUUAAUGCAUGCAAAUAAUGGUAGCAGCAAGAAGCUUAAUUUCAUAGCAUUCMGUUUACAAAGAAGAUUCAAAGAAGAUACAGAGCUGACAUCAUUUGCAUCCACUGGGAAUCUUUUAUGAACUGUGCUUCUGGAAUGGGUCAUUGCACAUAUGUAAUGUGUUAUCAUUUUGUAACAAUCUGAUUAAACAGAAGUGAACCAC